UACGGAGGAUGCGAGCGUUAUCCGGAUUUAUUGGGCUUAAAGGGUGCGUAGGCGGGCCGGUAAGUCAGCGGUGAAAUCCCAUGGCUCAACCAUGGAAUUGCCGUUGAAACUGUCGGUCUUGAAUAUGGUCAAGGUAGGCGGAAUGCGUAAUGUAGCGGUGAAAUGCUUAGAUAUUACGCGGAACACCUAUUGCGAAGGCAGCUUGCUGGGCCAGUAUUGACGCUGAGGCACGAAAGCGUGGGGAGCGAACAGGAUUAGAUA
Molecule: ribosomal RNA, 261 nt
Filed under: uncultured prokaryote
Description: partial 16S ribosomal RNA
Rfam family: Bacterial small subunit ribosomal RNA
Source: RNAcentral